UACAGAGGGUGCGAGCGUUAAUCGGAAUUACUGGGCGUAAAGCGUGCGUAGACGGUCAUGUAAGUCGGGUGUGAAAGCCCCGGGCUCAACCUGGGAAUUGCAUUCGAGACUGCAUGGCUUGGGUGCGGAAGAGGGAAGCGGAAUUUCCGGUGUAGCGGUGAAAUGCGUAGAUAUCGGAAGGAACACCAGUGGCGAAAGCGGCUUCCUGGUCCGACACCGACGUUCAGGCACGAAAGCGUGGGGAGCAAACAGG
RNAcentral lists this ribosomal RNA (253 nucleotides) under uncultured bacterium. RNAcentral's name for it is "partial 16S ribosomal RNA". It matches the Rfam family "Bacterial small subunit ribosomal RNA", at positions 524 to 776 of the family's 1533-position model. The record is from RNAcentral.